RNAcentral lists this unclassified non-coding RNA (1897 nucleotides) under Cyanidioschyzon merolae strain 10D. Its description in RNAcentral is "hypothetical transcript". The record is from RNAcentral. Lineage: Eukaryota; Rhodophyta; Bangiophyceae; Cyanidiales; Cyanidiaceae.
AGCUGUCGCAGAGACUGUUGCAGACACCGUCGCAGAGGGUGCCGCUGUCACAGCCACGGGACUCGGAGUCGGUGUUGAACUAAUCACCACACACUGGUUGUUGAUGCACUCCUCGUCAGCGCGGCAGCAACGCACCUUGCUCACAAGGUUAUCCGAAGGGAUCAGGUACGUCCCGCACUGCUUCGUAGGGUCCUUGCACACACAGAAUGACGGCAGCAGCACCUGUUGUUGCUGCUGUUGCUGCAGUUGCUGCUGCUGCUGCUGGUUGUUGUUGUUGCUGAACGGGUUGUACGUGCAGUUCUGCGUCUCGGCGUUGCAGCACUCGGGGCCGCAAGCAAUAUAGCUCGAGUUCGAUACGUUGCUAGUGGUGCCGCUCAGCGAGUUCGACACAUACCCGUAGGUCUGGCACACGUACUCGGUCAUCGGCUGGAAGCACUCGUUGCUGAGCCCCAGGCAGCAACCAGCCUCCAGACACUGCUGUGGCGAGUAGCUCGUGCGCUGCGUCCCGUGCUGCUCUCCGUACAGGAGCGUGUUCAGCAGACGCACAAACUGGUUGUUGUUGAUGUUAUUGUUCAGCUGCUGGUUCUGAUUCACCGCGUUCGUGCACGGCUGGCGCUCAAACUCGCCCACCGCGCACGUCUUCUCGGGCUGGAAGCAGUACGGGUUCGACUCAAAGUCGCUCUGCUGCUUGCCGUUCUGCACCCACUGGUUCUGCGCCUGCGAGUCGUAGCAGCAGCCCUGGGCAUAGCACGUAAACUGGUUGAUACCCGCGUUGCCGCACGGCUGGCGCUGCGCUCCCGGUGACGGGCAGACGGGUACUGGUGCCUGCACCUCCUGCAGCGCUACAGAGGCCUGCGGUGCAUGGUUGAUGUCGUAGUAGCACCAGGGUGCCAGGAUGCCGUUUGCCGUUGGCUGCCAGCAGCAUCCCGGUAUCGCAGUGCACUCGUCGGGAUAGAUGUAGCUCCAGCCGCAGGGGACGCGCUGCGUCACUGGAACAGCGCUGCACGCCGCUGAGACGCUCUUCAGGGUGCACGCGUUCGUCUGGGAGUUAAAGCAGCACCCGACUUGCUCGCAAGCGUCCUGGUUUGUGUACUGGCCCGGAGAACCGCAGAUUUCACUCGUGCAAACUGGUGUUGGCGUUGCACUCGGUGUCGGGGUUAUAAUAGCAAGUGUCGCACCAGAGGGUAGAAUUGUAGAAAGCUGGUCGGUGAAAGUUUGAAGCACACUUUGCAGUUCACUGGCGAGGGAUGUGUCUCCUGAGAUCUUAAUCACAUAGGUCACAACACUGCCGCCCGAAGUGCGCACCAAUGCUCGUUCCAGACGAAGAUUGCUCUUGUCUAAUGUGGUGGCGAGGCGCCUUGAUGUGCCCGAACCGAAGACCGUGUCGCAGUUAUCAGUCACGCUGACAUUCACUACCUGGCCCGUGAAGCGAGCCUCGAGAUCGUUCUGCAAAUCCGUCGCCACGGCCAAACAAAGAGAAAGAUUCUGAACGGAUAUCGCAAUCGAGGUGGAAAUCGUCGUCGGCACGAUUGUUGGUGACGUUGUUGCAGUUGGAGUCAUCGUCGGCGUCAUCGUCACUGUCGUUGGAGACUCUGUUACAGUAAUCGUUGGCGAUGAUGUAAUUGUCGGAGUCAUCGUCGCAGUCGGUGUCGGUGUAGGUGUAGGUGUAGGUGUCGGUGUCGGUGUCAGUGUAGGUGUCGGUGUCAGUGUCGCAGUCGGUGUCGCAGUCGGUGUCGCAGUCGGUGUCGGUGUCGGUGUCGGUGUCGCAGUCGGUGUCGGUGUCGGUGUAGGUGUCAGCGUGGGUGUCGGGGUCGCAGUAGCAGUUGGCGUAAUCGUUGGUGUCAGAGUUGGCGUUGAUGUUGGCGUAGGCGUAGGGGUAGGCGUAAAGAACGUUUCA